GUGUAUCUGUGUGCUCCAGAGAGAGGAGUUUGUAGUGUAUCUGUGUGCUCCAGAGAGAGGAGUUUGUAGUGUAUCUGUGUGCUCCAGAGAGAGGAGUUUGUAGUGUAUCUGUGUGCUACAGAGAGAGAGGAGUUUGUAGUGUAUCUGUGUGCUACAGAGAGAGAGGAGUUUGUAGUGUAUCUGUGUGCUCCAGAGAGAGAGGAGUUUGUAGUGUAUCUGUGUGCUACAGAGAGAGGAGUUUGUAGUGUAUCUGUGUGCUCCAGAGAGAGAGGAGUUUGUAGUGUAUCUGUGUGCUACAGAGAGAGGAGUUUGUAGUGUAUCUGUGUGCUCCAGAGAGAGGAGUUUGUAGUGUAUCUGUGUGCUCCAGAGAGAGGAGUUUGUAGCGUAUCUGUGUGCUCCAGAGAGAGGAGUUUGUAGCGUAUCUGUGUGCUCCAGAGAGAGAGGAGUUUGUAGCGUAUCUGUGUGCUCCAGAGAGAGAGGAGUUUGUAGCGUAUCUGUGUGCUCCAGAGAGAGGAGUUUGUAGUGUAUCUGUGUGCUCCAGAGAGAGGAGUUUGUAGUGUAUCUGUGUGCUCCAGAGAGAGGAGUU
RNAcentral lists this long non-coding RNA (586 nucleotides) under Salmo salar (Atlantic salmon). RNAcentral's name for it is "lncRNA (ENSSSAG00000112496.1)". The record is from RNAcentral. Lineage: Eukaryota; Metazoa; Chordata; Actinopteri; Salmoniformes; Salmonidae.